This is a long non-coding RNA of Myotis daubentonii (Daubenton's bat), 403 nucleotides long. RefSeq lists it as uncharacterized. The record is from RefSeq and is a predicted model, not a curated record. The transcript has 3 exons. Lineage: Eukaryota; Metazoa; Chordata; Mammalia; Chiroptera; Vespertilionidae.
UCAUUGGGCAGGGCCACGCCUCGUGCGUUUAUUGGGGGAGCCCGGGCCUAGCCGAGCAGGUCCCGGUCUUAAAGGAGCCUCCGCCUGUUCUUUGCUCACGCGGGCUGCAAGAAAAGGGUGGCGGCCAGCGACCGCAGCUCUGUAGGUGCCGGCUGCAGCCGUGCUGAAACUUUCAAGGGGGACGUUUACGGACGGCAGAAGGUUAGCUCUUUGAAGGCAGGAACCUUUGUUCACUACCAGCACACCAGUACCUGCAACAGUGAGAGGGGACACAUACUAGGUGCUCAAUAAAUCUUGGUUGAAAAACUGUCAGUCUGUAGGUGGCAGACUGACAAGAAACAACUACACGUUCUGUCUUGACUGUGCACCAGCUGUGUGACUUUAGGCAAGUCGCUUGACCUCU